Molecule: non-coding RNA, 179 nt
Organism: Pseudonaja textilis
Lineage: Eukaryota; Metazoa; Chordata; Lepidosauria; Squamata; Elapidae
Source: RefSeq, a predicted model, not a curated record
CAGAAGUACAUGGGGUCUUAACCAGGAUCUUCAGACGGUCUUUAUCCCAGUUCACUAUUUCAUCUUGUUUGAAGGCUUCCACCAUCGUUCCGCUGCCAAAGAAGUUCCCUAUCAAUAACCUCAAUGAUUACAGACCAGUGGCACUCACUCCUAUCAUCAUGAAGUGCUUUGAGAAAUUG